Molecule: ribosomal RNA, 257 nt
Filed under: uncultured bacterium
Lineage: Bacteria
Description: partial 16S ribosomal RNA
Rfam family: Bacterial small subunit ribosomal RNA
Source: RNAcentral
CGGCGGACGGGUGAGUAACGCGUGGACAACCUGCCCUAUGCAGGGGGAUAACAUCCGGAAACGGGUGCUAAUACCGCAUAAGCGCACAGUACCGCAUGGUACGGUGUGAAAAGCUGAGGCGGCAUAGGAUGGGUCCGCGUUGGAUUAGGCAGUUGGCGGGGUAACGCCCACCAAACCGACGAUCCAUAGCCGGCCUGAGAGGGUGGACGGCCACAUUGGGACUGAGACACGGCCCAGACUCCUACGGAAGGCAGCAG